GAAUCCAUGGCUGAAUGGUUAAAGCACCCAACUCAUAAUUGGGAAGUCGCAGGUUCAAUUCCUGCUGGAUGUACA
Molecule: non-coding RNA, 75 nt
Organism: Cryptomeria japonica (Japanese cedar)
Lineage: Eukaryota; Viridiplantae; Streptophyta; Pinopsida; Cupressales; Cupressaceae
Source: the annotation of a RefSeq genome assembly